UAAGGAAUAUUGCUCAAUGGGAGAAAUCCUGAAGCAGCAACGCCGCGUGGAGGAUGAAGGGUCUAUGACUUGUAAACUCCUGUAAAGAAGGAAAAAAUUCCCAUUAGAUGGGAGAUGAUGGUACUUCUGGAGUAAGCCCCGGCUAACUACGUGCCAGCAGCCGCGGUAAUACGUAGGGGGCAAGCGUUGUCCGGAUUUACUGGGUGUAAAGGGUGCUCAGGCGGAUUUGUAAGUCAGAGGUGAAAUCUUACAGCUUAACUGUGAAACUGCCUUUGAUACUGCAAGCCUAGAGUAUGGAAGAGAGUGAUGGAAUAUCUGGUGUAGCAGUUAAAUGCGUAGAUAUCAGAUAGAACACCAAUGGUGAAGGCAGUCACUUGGUCCAUUACUGACGCUAAAGCACGAAAGCGUGGGUAGCAAACA
Molecule: ribosomal RNA, 420 nt
Filed under: uncultured bacterium
Lineage: Bacteria
Description: bacterial SSU rRNA
Rfam family: Bacterial small subunit ribosomal RNA
Source: RNAcentral